This is a long non-coding RNA of Sceloporus undulatus (fence lizard), 639 nucleotides long. RefSeq lists it as uncharacterized. Lineage: Eukaryota; Metazoa; Chordata; Lepidosauria; Squamata; Phrynosomatidae. The record is from RefSeq and is a predicted model, not a curated record. The transcript is spliced from 2 exons.
UUUGCAAAUAGCCUUGAGGUUAAAAGUUUAUGUACCUCAUUCCCGUAAGCCUUUCUCCUCUUUGGUUAGAGUAUCAUGCAAAGCAGAAACAGCACAAAAAAUGUAGGCACACAAUUAGAAGGAAGUAUUGGUGAAAAAACAAAAUAAAGCACCUUGAAGAAUAAGUCCCUCAAGUGAUUAUUAACUGAAAGUGAAGAUUUUAUCAAACAAACAUAGUUGCCUGGAGCACUAUGAAGCCCUUGUUGGUCUGUAUGGUUUUCUUUCUGCUGUCAAGAUGUUGUACUUCCCUAAAUGGCAGACUGUAUCAGCUCUUAACACUGCAAGACUCCUGAGAGAUAUGAACACUAGAGAAAACUGAUUUUCAAGAGCUCUGAAGUACUAAAUGGAUGCAAGGUAUUAACAAAAUGGAUGCAAGGUAUUAACUUUCAGAACGGUGUGCUUUCCAAGAAGAGAUUCCCCAAUAUAUACAAGGAGAUGAUCCAACCCACCUUCAGAUGGCAACAUUUAAAUAAAAACAAAGACCUUCAGGAAAGGAUACAACCACCAUGGGCUUGUCAAACAAAACAUAUCCAUUUACUUCCUUCAAGGCUUUUGCAGCUGCUUUCUCAUCAGGAAGCCCAAUAAAUGCUUGUCCUUUCA